This 253-nucleotide ribosomal RNA is filed under the name uncultured bacterium. Its description in RNAcentral is "partial 16S ribosomal RNA". It matches the Rfam family "Bacterial small subunit ribosomal RNA", at positions 524 to 776 of the family's 1533-position model. The record is from RNAcentral.
UACGGAGGGUGCAAGCGUUAUCCGGAUUCACUGGGUUUAAAGGGUGCGUAGGUGGGUCUGUAAGUCAGUGGUGAAAUCUUCGAGCUUAACUCGGAGACUGCCAUUGAUACUAUAGAUCUUGAAUUUUCUGGAGGUAAGCGGAAUAUGUCAUGUAGCGGUGAAAUGCUUAGAUAUGACAUAGAACACCAAUUGCGAAGGCAGCUUACUACGGGAACAUUGACACUGAGGCACGAAAGCGUGGGGAUCAAACAGG